AAUAGACUAUUUUUCUAGAACAGUUUUAGGUUCACAGCAAAAUUGAGAGUAAGAUAUAGAGAUUUCCCAUAUAUCCCCUAUCCCCAUACAUGCAUAGCCUCCUCCACUAUCAACAUCUCCCACGAGGGUGGGAAAUUUUUACAACUGAUGAACCUACAUUGACAAAUUAUCUUAACAUAAAGUCCACAGUUUACAUUAGGGUUCAUGCUUAGUGUUGUACAUUCUAUGGGUUUGGACAAACGUAUGAUGACAUGAUAACAUGUAUCAACCCUUACAGUAUCACACAGUGAAUUUUCACUGCAAAAAUCCCUUAUGCUAUGCCUGUUUAUCUCUCCCUCCACCACCAACCCCUGGCAACCACUGAUCUCUUUAUUGUCUCCAUAGUUUUACCUUUUUUCAUACAGUAUGUAGCCUUUUCAGAUUGGUUUCUUUCAAUUAAUAAUAUGCAUUUAAGGUUCUUUCAUGGCUUGAUAGCUCAUUUUGUUUUUGGCAUUUGUUUGGAUUUGCCAGUUUAUCCAUUCACCCACUGAACG
RNAcentral lists this long non-coding RNA (533 nucleotides) under Homo sapiens (human). RNAcentral's name for it is "HSALNT0353770". The record is from RNAcentral. Lineage: Eukaryota; Metazoa; Chordata; Mammalia; Primates; Hominidae.